AACGUACGCUGGCGGCACGCCUAACACAUGCAAGUCGAACGAAGUAGCAAUACUUAGUGGCAGACGGGUGAGUAACAUGUGGGUAUCUGCCCUUUGGCCUGGAAUAACACGAGGAAACUUGUGCUAAUACCGGAUAAGUCUUUACGGAGAAAGCUUUAUGCACCAUUGGAUGAGCCCGCACUUGAUUAGUUUGUUGGUGGGGUAAUGGCCUACCAAGACUGUGAUCAAUAGCUGAUUUGAGAGGAUGAUCAGCCACAUUGGGACUGAGACACGGCCCAAACUCCUACGGGAGGCAGCAGUGGGGAAUCUUGCACAAUGGAGGAAACUCUGAUGCAGCGAUGCCGCGUGAGUGAAGAAGGCCCUUGGGUUGUAAAGCUCUUUCGUCGGGGAAGAAAAUGACUGUACCCGAAUAAGAAGGUCCGGCUAACUUCGUG
RNAcentral lists this ribosomal RNA (434 nucleotides) under uncultured bacterium. Its description in RNAcentral is "bacterial SSU rRNA". It matches the Rfam family "Bacterial small subunit ribosomal RNA", at positions 29 to 507 of the family's 1533-position model. The record is from RNAcentral.